Molecule: non-coding RNA, 864 nt
Organism: Myodes glareolus (Bank vole)
Lineage: Eukaryota; Metazoa; Chordata; Mammalia; Rodentia; Cricetidae
Source: RefSeq, a predicted model, not a curated record
AUUCCGGCCGGGCCGGACCAAUGGGGAGCGCCCAUGCAGCCUCCGGGCCAAUGGAGCCUCCUCUCUUAUCGCGAAGUCCCUUCCUCCAACGCCCUGUUUCCUCUCUCGGGUUUCCUCCUUCCCCCGCGGAGGAGGAAAGAGGAAAGGGGGAGUGUGGCAGGGCGGGUGAUAAUGGGGAGGUAUUAGGGCAUAUAAUGGAGCUGGGGGUAGGCGAAGAAGCGCCAGUACAUAGCGAAGAUUCUGGGAGAGGAGGUGCUCGGAAGAAAGGGCGGGGGCUGCUGAUGUAAUUGGGAGAAGUGAUUAAUCUUGCAUUUUGCCGUUUCAGCCUCCCUCCACCCCAGCCUUCACCUGGUUUUCUUAAACGGAAAGUGGAGUGAGGGAGUCAGUCUUUGGUAACUCGGGAUUUCUGUGCUCGGGCCCACACACUCAAAAAGAGAAACUCCCAAGAGGAAUUACUUUUGUAUCUGUAUCUGGUCCCCUUAGCAUAAUCUCUCCCCAAGGAAAUCGCGUUUCUAUUCCCGGGCUGCCACUGUGAUGGCUGAAAACGCACUCCUCGCUAUUCAUUCGUGAUAGCUCAGCUAGCUAGUGGUUCACUUCUGGAUUCUCUUCUUUUCAGAGCUCUCAGUAAUUUCCUGCUUGAAUUUCAUUGGUUGCUCUCUAGGCUUAAGAUAGAUAAGACAUUACAAAGCUUGAUAAAAGCAAGACCGAGAGGGAGAAACGUGCAUUCUGAGAGAAGCACCAGGAGGGCAGUAAGCCAGUGUUGUGCUGUGUGAGCCCCAGAGUUCUUAGGUGACUCUAGGCAAAUCACCUUUCUGGAUAGCAGACAUCUCUCCUGCCGUUUAAAUAAAACUUUAUCACAUAAUA